This 615-nucleotide long non-coding RNA is filed under the name Physcomitrium patens. RNAcentral describes it as "long non-coding RNA (PPAT_LNC013228)". The record is from RNAcentral. Lineage: Eukaryota; Viridiplantae; Streptophyta; Bryopsida; Funariales; Funariaceae.
GUGUAAAAGUUUAGUUUUGAAACUGAAAACUUCCAACAAAGUUCAGUUGUGUAGUUGCUUUUGUGAUUUACUUGUAAUUUGGCAUAGUCUUUAUGUAAAAAAGAGUACAAUGUCAUUGAUUCAAAUCUGUCCUUCUUUGUUGGAAACUAAUAAACAUGGAUCUUAGCUGUGGUAUCUGCAAAAAUGAUUUUAUGCACUGAGCUGAUAUUUUUCAAAAAAAAAAAAAUCUAAUUUCUUUAGAAUAUGUCUACUAAAGAAAAAGGAUCAGAAAUUAAGAAAAACAUGUGUCCAUGAAUUUGAUGUCUGACUGUAGAUUAUGUGUGAACAUGCAUUGGCCAUGCAACACUUAAUGUUGUUGAAUUUUGGCAAACUCACAGAAACAAAACAGUCUUCUAUUGAUACUUUAUUUCAUUUUAAAGACAGUAAAAAUUUUACACUACCAUUUUCUUUUCCAAGAGAAAAAAGAAAAAAGAUAAGAUAAGAUCUACACAUACACUGGGACAAUUAACUGAAUCACAAAGGUUCAUCUUUCUGCUUUCAAAACACAGUAAAGGUAACCUCCCUCUAUAAAGUGUUAUUGUCAGGGAGCAACCAUCCUUUUCCAUAAUAAUAUAU